This 274-nucleotide ribosomal RNA is filed under the name uncultured bacterium. Its description in RNAcentral is "partial 16S ribosomal RNA". It matches the Rfam family "Bacterial small subunit ribosomal RNA", at positions 523 to 796 of the family's 1533-position model. The record is from RNAcentral.
AUACGGAGGGAGCGAGCGUUAAUCGGAAUUACUGGGCGUAAAGCGCGCGUAGGCGGCUUUGUAAGUCGGAUGUGAAAGCCCAGGGCUCAACCCUGGAAUUGCAUUCGAUACUGCACGGCUAGAGUAUGGUAGAGGGAAGUGGAAUUUCCGGUGUAGCGGUGAAAUGCGUAGAUAUCGGAAGGAACACCAGUGGCGAAGGCGACUUCCUGGGCCAAUACUGACGCUGAGGUGCGAAAGCGUGGGGAGCAAACAGGAUUAGAAACCCCGGUAGUCC